RNAcentral lists this ribosomal RNA (492 nucleotides) under uncultured bacterium. RNAcentral's name for it is "partial 16S ribosomal RNA". It matches the Rfam family "Bacterial small subunit ribosomal RNA", at positions 29 to 507 of the family's 1533-position model. The record is from RNAcentral.
AGUGAACGCUGGCGGUAGGCCUAACACAUGCAAGUCGAACGGCAGCACAGUAAGAGCUUGCUCUUACGGGUGGCGAGUGGCGGACGGGUGAGGAAUACAUCGGAAUCUACUUUUUCGUGGGGGAUAACGUAGGGAAACUUACGCUAAUACCGCAUAUGACCUACGGGUGAAAGCAGGGGAUCUUCGGACCUUGCGCGUUUGAAUGAGCCGAUGUCGGAUUAGCUAGUUGGCGGGGUAAAGGCCCACCAAGGCGACGAUCCGUAGCUGGUCUGAGAGGAUGAUCAGCCACACUGGAACUGAGACACGGUCCAGACUCCUACGGGAGGCAGCAGUGGGGAAUCUUGGGCAAUGGGCGCAAGCCUGAUCCAGCCAUACCGCGUGGGUGAAGAAGGCCUUCGGGUUGUAAAGCCCUUUUGUUGGGAAAGAAAAGCAGCAGGUUAAUACCCCGCUGUUCUGACGGUACCCAAAGAAUAAGCACCGGCUAACUUCGUG